RNA transcript from Amphibalanus amphitrite, 3956 nucleotides. RefSeq lists it as uncharacterized. The transcript has 6 exons. NCBI's taxonomy places the organism in Eukaryota, Metazoa, Arthropoda, Thecostraca, Balanomorpha, Balanidae. The record is from RefSeq and is a predicted model, not a curated record.
GCAGUGGCAGAAACGCGAGAACUGGGAAAUGAUAUUUCAUUUCUCUUCAAAUUUUAAUUUGAGAUGCAUAAAUGAUUGUAUGGUUUUUGUUGAAGUAGGGACUACAUUCAAACGUAAUGUGUACAUGUCAAGUUCAUCAAGUUACUGCUCAGUCUGUUUUGUCACCACAUAAUCCAAGGUCACCUGGAUUGAAGUGAGGUUUGACUUCAACUUGGGGCAUCCAGUAUUUCGAAGAAGCACGCUUAAGCGCAAAGGUCGGUCGGCCAUACCCGGGUGGGCGCAAGCGGGUAGGCGUUCGGUCACUGCUCAGCUGUCAGCAGUAGAUUGUGAUGGGAGGACCGGUGCACGGAGCUGCGCGAUAGUGUAGAUUUGGUGGGGAGACUGUGGUGUGACAGAGGCAUUCCCGCUUGAAGAUAAUUCGGAGAGUAUCAACUUAUGUGCAAAUCUUUGAAGAAGGCUAAACUGUUAACCAAAGUCUCAAAAACUGGAGCUUAUACCAGGGGCAUGCCUGAGCAGCGUGAGGCGGGGCCCGAUGAGCCUCAGCUGGCAUCAGGUGGCUGCUGGUCACCGCAGCAGAGUCACCAGAGUGUGCCGCCUAUGGCAGAGGGACCUCUAGACCUUACCAUGAGGUCAAUGAGCCACCAAAGUUCCACCGACCAACGUGGAAUGGACCUCAGCUUGCCAGACAAAGACUCGCCUGUGGAGGCGUGCUAUACCUGUGGUACGCCAGUGCGCCGCAGUACUCUGCGUGCGUUGUUGGUGAUUGGCCGUCAUCGGUACGGUGACGAGCCCUUCUUCCCCAGCCUCGUCGACCACGCCCGUCCGGUCGGGUCGCGACCUAUGUCACCGGACGGUCGGGUCAACGUAUGCAACAAAUGUCAAACGAGUCUAUUGCAUCAGUGGGACGACUACCAGAAAGAGAACCGGGUCUCUGCCGAGCGACGGAAGUACGCGGUGCACGCGGCCAGCGCACCCCUGCUGGGGGAGUUUGUCUGCUACAUGUGCUGCCUUACCUACUCGGUGGCGUGCCUGAGCCGCUUGCGUGUGACGCCGGGUGCCGCUGGCGAGCACUGCUAUCCGGACGUGCUGCGGCCGGUGACGCCGCCGGGCGCCGAGGGAGUCCGCAGCGGCGCCGUCUCCGUGUGCGUCAACUGCAAGAGGAAGGCGGUGCUGCGGCAGACGCUGCAGCAGAGCCGGCCACUGCCCGCGGACAGUCACUGCUACCGGAUCAUCGAGGAGGCGGUGCGCGGGCAGACCGCCGAGGAGACGCGACCCUCCACCUUCGAAAACAUUCGCGUGCGCCGGCGUGAGGUCGUGUGCAUUUCGUGCAAGCGCACACAUCAGCGAGAUUUCAUGGCGGAGGUGCGCCUGGAGAGCUCCAACCAGGCACUCAUGCACUUCCCGAGACUGGCUCACGAGCCGCGCCCGCCUGGGUCCGUGGUGAAACGCUCGUCAGCACUGGUUUGUGUCCAGUGCCUGCGGGAGCUGCAGAAGCAGUGGGAGGCGUAUGACGCGAACGGCACGCCAGUGGCCAAUCGUGUGUACGCGCCGCGCCGGAGCUCUGUGGGCAGUGGCUCGGACGCGGCUCGCGACUCGCCGCCGGUGCCCUCAGCGUCGCCGCCGGUCAGCCUGGCCUCCGGGAGCAGCCGGUCGGUGGGCUCCGGGUCACCGCCCUCCGGGAGACACUCUCCUCUGGCCGGCGGCCGACCGCUGCCUCUGACCGACCGGAACUCGCCUGUGGCCGAGCGGGGAUCCCCGCUGACCGACCGUCUAUCGGGACCCAUGGAGCGCGCCCGCACCAUGAGCGACUGCCGCACGAUCGAUAGCAGCUCGUCGAGCAGCUCCUCGGGACGGCCGAAGCGGCCCUCUGGCGACGCCUCCACGCGCGCCGCCAAGCGUAGAGCGCCGGCACGCUCGGACGCCUCACCAAAGCCGAUGUCACUGGUAGCACCGUCCACAGUGACAGCUGGAUGCUACGCCUGUCACCAACCCCUCGAAGCGAAUGCCGCUUACGAGGUGCGCACGGAGCCGAACCAGGCAGACGCGUCGGCGCCGUUCUUCCCGCACCUGGCGCAGCAGCGUCACCUGCCCGCGCCCGUCUGUAGCGUGGCGGUGUGCGUGUUCUGCUACCACACACUGGCAGACCAGUGGGCGCGCUACGAGCGACUCUCCAACAAGAUCGACCCGUACAAACGCGAGUACGACACGCACAACUUCAUCUGCUUCGUGUGCAGCGUGCGCACGUACAGGAAGCGUCUGCACGUCAUUGACGUUAAGGACUUUCCGUUCUUGACCGACUCCCACCGGUAUCCGGAGGGAGCGCUGCUCAUCUGCGACCGCACCAAGUCCGUGGUGUGCCGGGACUGCCACGGCACGCUCAACUGCCAGUUUCAGGAUUAUGAGCGCUGGAAUCUACCGGUAAACAAGCGCGAGUACAACUGGGUGGCUCGCCCACCGCCACCCGAGAGUCCCGAACCGCGAGACCGUCCAGACACCGUGGUGAGUGAGAUUGACGGAGAGCUGCCACCGGCGGGCCCCGGGCCGGCCGCCCUACCCGCCAUGUGCGCCGCCGACUGUUGGACGGCAGCUCUGCGCCGCGCCGCGCCUCAGGCAGGCGGGAGGACUGCUUCCCGCCUGGCGAGGGGCCGUCAGCGCGGUGCUGCUGUGCUUCGCACUUAUUACCAAACUUGCUGAGUAGCCAAGCAUCAGAAUGUUCUGUUUUAUAAGUGACGAGCACGGAUGAGUCAAAAUUUAGCCAGGAAAACACGAGCAUUCUCGGGAUUUUCUCAAUCAGUAACGCUCAUGAGCUGCUGUCCGUGAUGUUGGCACAGGUGGGGUGGUCGGGCUCGUGGCCUGCGGGCGUCGAGCCUCUGCUAUAGCCUGUCCAUGAAAGCCGCCCCUUGUCUCACUUGGCUCCGUUGUCGGCUUGAGCUGGACCUGUCUGUUGACACGCUGGAACCAUGCUCGGGCGCGAUCGCGGUCUGCGUGAUUAUCUUCACAGUUACCCGACUGAGGUAACUUAUUGGGUGUCAUUGUGUCCAGAGACUAAUAGUCUCGGUGCCACCGACUGGCGGGCAGUGGACCAAACGCCCUCUGUGUUAGCCACCUGGUGGCAGCGCAGGCCGCGAUGUGGCCGAGCCGUCCCAGCGCGUCCUAGGUGGCGCAUGGAGCGGGCGUCGCCGCCGUCGAGUCGGGGGCGCCGCCGGCUCCUCCCUCCUGACGCGACCGGCGCGUGGCGGCGGCGAGGUUCCUCGCGGCCGGCGCGCGCUGGCCGCCGGCCCCUCCUGCCGGGCGGUUUUCAUGGACGGCUGGUGGCGGUGCUGCCGGUGACUGGUGAUUGUGCUGGUGUGCGGUGUCGGGCCGGGGCGCGCGGCCACAGCGCCGUCUGCAGGGGGCCCGCUCGGACGAGCCGCACCUUGAUCUGUCCUUGUCCGUUCUAGUUGGCCGCCGGGAGGGUCGGACAAUGUUCGGCCCGACCGGCUGGCCUAGAGCCAUAGAUUGUUGGCCCUAGCUUUGUACUCACGAUCACAAGUAUUUGAUUCGCUUGCGAAUAAUGUUGCUUAGACCAAUGUAGGUAGGUUUCCAGUAACAUGUUGACAGUGCAGACAUUCAGUCAUAAUUUGCUCUGAAAUUGAUGCCGUUUUGGUUGAUCAAAAUUUGGCUUUGUUUUCUGAACGUUAAUUUGUUUUGUCUCAGAGCCCGGGGCGGUGGACCCAGUAGGGGCAGAGAUCGUGCGCUACGUAACAGCUUAAGCAUCUCUGUGAGAAGAACGCAGCUGUAACUCAACUUUCGUUGGGCCGAAUGUUGCUUGUAGUGUUAUAGUGACGUUUGAGCACUCUGUCUUACAAUGCCACGUUGGCAGUAAUCGAAGAUUGCGAUAUGCGCAACGUGUUAAAUUGGACUACACUCCAGGUGUUUUUAUGUGCGUUCUGUGAAAUAUAUUUAUAAUGGAUCUA